CUUGACAUACCGAUGACAGGUCUAGAGAUAGAUUUUCCCUUUUAGGGCAUCGGAUACAGGUGGUGCAUGGUUGUCGUCAGCUCGUGUCGUGAGAUGUUGGGUUAAGUCCCGCAACGAGCGCAACCCCUAUUGUUAGUUGCCAUCAUUAAGUUGGGCACUCUAGCGAGACUGCCAGUAAUAAACUGGAGGAAGGUGGGGAUGACGUCAAAUCAUCAUGCCCCUUAUGACCUGGGCUACACACGUGCUACAAUGGGAAGUACAACGAGUUGCGAGGCGGUGACGCCAAGCUAAUCUCUUAAAGCUUCUCUCAGUUCGGAUUGUAGGCUGCAACUCGCCUACAUGAAGUCGGAAUCGCUAGUAAUCGCGGAUCAGCACGCCGCGGUGAAUACGUUCCCGGGCCUUGUACACACCGCCCGUCACACCACGAGAGUUUGUAACACCCGAAGUCGGUGAGGUAACCGUAAGGAGCCAACCGCCUAAGGUGGGAUAGAUGAUUGGGGUGAAGUCGUAACAAGGUAGGCGUAGAUGA
Molecule: ribosomal RNA, 529 nt
Filed under: uncultured bacterium
Lineage: Bacteria
Description: bacterial SSU rRNA
Rfam family: Bacterial small subunit ribosomal RNA
Source: RNAcentral